RNAcentral lists this transfer RNA (82 nucleotides) under Oreochromis niloticus (Nile tilapia). Its description in RNAcentral is "tRNA-Leu (AAG) (tRNA-Leu-AAG-10-1)". It matches the Rfam family "tRNA". From Rfam's summary of the family: Transfer RNA (tRNA) molecules are approximately 80 nucleotides in length. Their secondary structure includes four short double-helical elements and three loops (D, anti-codon, and T loops). Lineage: Eukaryota; Metazoa; Chordata; Actinopteri; Cichliformes; Cichlidae. The record is from Rfam by way of RNAcentral.
GGUAGCAUGACUGACUGGUCUAAGGUGCUGGAUUAAGGCUCCAGUCUCUUUGGGGGCAUGGGUUUGAAUCCCACUGCUGCCA